UGGGGAAUUUUGGACAAUGGGGGAAACCCUGAUCCAGCCAUCCCGCGUGUGCGAUGAAGGCCUUCGGGUUGUAAAGCACUUUUGGCAGGAAAGAAACGUCACGGGUUAAUACCCCGCGAAACUGACGGUACCUGCAGAAUAAGCACCGGCUAACUACGUGCCAGCAGCCGCGGUAAUACGUAGGGUGCAAGCGUUAAUCGGAAUUACUGGGCGUAAAGCGUGCGCAGGCGGUUCGGAAAGAAAGAUGUGAAAUCCCAGAGCUUAACUUUGGAACUGCAUUUUUAACUACCGGGCUAGAGUGUGUCAGAGGGAGGUGGAAUUCCGCGUGUAGCAGUGAAAUGCGUAGAUAUGCGGAGGAACACCGAUGGCGAAGGCAGCCUCCUGGGAUAACACUGACGCUCAUGCACGAAAGCGUGGGGGAGCAAACAGGAUUAGAUACCCUGGUAGUCCACGCCCUAAACGAUGUCAACUAGCUGUUGGGGCCUUCGGGCCUUGGUAGCGCAGCUAACGCGU
This 513-nucleotide ribosomal RNA is filed under the name uncultured bacterium. RNAcentral describes it as "partial 16S ribosomal RNA". It matches the Rfam family "Bacterial small subunit ribosomal RNA", at positions 355 to 860 of the family's 1533-position model. The record is from RNAcentral.